RNAcentral lists this long non-coding RNA (652 nucleotides) under Medicago truncatula (barrel medic). RNAcentral's name for it is "long non-coding RNA (MTRU_LNC001110)". The record is from RNAcentral. Lineage: Eukaryota; Viridiplantae; Streptophyta; Magnoliopsida; Fabales; Fabaceae.
GUUUGUGCAUGAUUACGAUUCUGAUGGAUAUGGUAAAGUUUCUAUGGAUGAGUUCACUAGAGAACGGGAUGAUGAAGCUCUCAGAUAUCCUGCUACCCAUGAGAGCAGGGACCAUUCUCUUAAGAGUGGUAGAUCUAAUGAAUUCAUUAGAGAAAGGGAAGAUGGAGCUCGCAGAUAUCCUGCUACCCAUGAGAGCAGGGACCAUUCUCUUAAGAGUGGUAGAUCUAAUGAAUUCACUAGAGAAAGGGAAAAUGGAGGUCCCAGAUAUCCUGCUACCUACGAGAGCAGGGACCAUUCUCCUAAGAGUGGUAGAUCUAAUGAAUUCACUAGUGAAAGGGAAGAUGGAGCUCCCAGAUAUCCUACUACCCAUGAGAGCAGGGACUAUUCUCUUAAGAGUGGUAGAUCUAAUGAAUUCACUAGUGAAAGGGAAGAUGGAGCUCCCAGAUAUCCUACUACCCACGAGAGCAGGGACUAUUCUCUUAAGAGCGGUAGAUCUAAUGAUGAAUAUGGCAAAGUUUUUAUGGAUGAAUUCACUAGAGAAAGAGAAGUUGGCAGAAGGCACAGAGAUAAUUCUUUUGAGCACGGUGGCCGGCAUGUGCCUAACCGCACUAUUGAUGCUCCUUGCAAAUUUUUUGCUAGUGGAAAUUGUCGA